RNAcentral lists this ribosomal RNA (253 nucleotides) under uncultured bacterium. RNAcentral's name for it is "partial 16S ribosomal RNA". It matches the Rfam family "Bacterial small subunit ribosomal RNA", at positions 524 to 776 of the family's 1533-position model. The record is from RNAcentral.
UACGGAGGGGGCUAGCGUUGUUCGGAAUUACUGGGCGUAAAGCGCGCGUAGGCGGACCUGCAAGUCGGGGGUGAAAGCCCGGGGCUCAACUCCGGAAUUGCCUUUAAGACUGCAUCGCUCGAAUCAUGGAGAGGUGAGUGGAAUUCCGAGUGUAGAGGUGAAAUUCGUAGAUAUUCGGAAGAACACCAGUGGCGAAGGCGACUCACUGGACAUGUAUUGACGCUGAGGUACGAAAGCGUGGGGAGCAAACAGG